GGAGACACUGGGAUGGGCUGAGGGGGCACUGGGAGGGAGAGGGGAAAGUUUUUUGCCCCUUUCCUGGGCACUUGAACACCCUCUGCACCCCCGUUCCUGGCCGUGCCGGCUGUCCUUCCCCCCAAGCCAUGAACAGGUUUUGGGGCUCCCUCGUGGGUCGCAGCCAAUAGAACGGCUCUGCUGGAAUGACGUCAUUGCCAAAUUCUGCUGGGCCCCUGUCCUUGUGCCGCAGGGUGUGGUGGAAGAAAAAACCAAUUGGGAAAGAUAUGUGGCAUGGAGAAGCAUCUAUGGGAACUAGAUGGACUUUUAUACACUGGACAAUUCAUCCACUGGACUGACAGUUGUUCCCCAGUUUUACCCCAGUUUAUUGCUGUAUUGUCAUGGAGUUUUAUGUACCCCAGUUUACUGUUGAAUUUUUAUGAAGUUUGUUAUACCUCCAUAUUGUUCCCCUUUCUCCCUCAGAUUUUCCUGCCCAAAGUUGUUUGUCACCCUGUCCUCCCCUGCUUUCCCGCCCCUCUGCCACUGAUUGGCUACAGUUUGCUGCAGUGCAAAGAGAGCCCCCAUUGGCCCUUUCUCCUGGAGACUCCGAAGUUCCACCCGCCUUUUCCCUGUCUCCCUAUCACACUUUUCCCUGAGUUGUCAGUUCCAUGCUCCUCCCCAGUUCAGAAUCCUCCCCUCAGACUUACCUUAUUUAAAACCCUGUUGUCCCUGAAUAAAGUGGCAUUGCUGCACGAACCCU
This is a long non-coding RNA of Manacus vitellinus (golden-collared manakin), 739 nucleotides long. RefSeq lists it as uncharacterized. The record is from RefSeq and is a predicted model, not a curated record. The transcript has 2 exons. NCBI's taxonomy places the organism in Eukaryota, Metazoa, Chordata, Aves, Passeriformes, Pipridae.